UGCUAAUACCGCAUACGAUCUACGGAUGAAAGCAGGGGGCCCAAGCCUUGCGCGAACGGAGCGCCGAUGGCAGAUUAGGUAGUUGGUGGGAUAAAAGCUUACCAAUCCGACGAUCUGUGCUGGUCUGAGAGGACGACCAUCCACACUGGGACUGAGACACGGCCCAACUCUACGGGAGGCAGCAGUGGGGAAUUUUGGACAAUGGGCGAAAGCCUGAUCCACCAUGCCGCGUGCAGGAUGAAGGCUCGGGUUGUAAACUGCUUUUGUACGGAACGAAAAGACUCUGGUUAAUACCUGGGUGCCAU
This 305-nucleotide ribosomal RNA is filed under the name Stenotrophomonas sp. oral taxon A62. Its description in RNAcentral is "bacterial SSU rRNA". It matches the Rfam family "Bacterial small subunit ribosomal RNA", at positions 161 to 475 of the family's 1533-position model. The record is from RNAcentral. Lineage: Bacteria; Pseudomonadati; Pseudomonadota; Gammaproteobacteria; Lysobacterales; Lysobacteraceae.